Molecule: ribosomal RNA, 460 nt
Filed under: uncultured bacterium
Lineage: Bacteria
Description: partial 16S ribosomal RNA
Rfam family: Bacterial small subunit ribosomal RNA
Source: RNAcentral
CCUACGGGUGGCAGCAGUGAGGAAUAUUGGUCAAUGGCCGGAAGGCUGAACCAGCCAAGCCGCGUGAAGGACGAAGGUGCCAAGCAUUGUAAACUUCUUUUGUCAAGGGACAAAAUCAGGCUCGAGAGCCUGACCGCGGGUACUUUAAGAAAAAGCAUCGGCUAACUCCGUGCCAGCAGCCGCGGUAAUACGGAGGAUGCGAGCGUUAUCCGGAAUGAUUGGGCGUAAAGGGUGCGCAGGCGGUCCUGCAAGUCUGGAGUGAAACGCAUGAGCUCAACUCAUGCAUGGCUUUGGAAACUGGAGGACUGGAGAGCAGGAGAGGGCGGUGGAACUCCAUGUGUAGCGGUAAAAUGCGUAGAUAUAUGGAAGAACACCAGUGGCGAAGGCGGCCGCCUGGACUGUUGCUGACGCUGAGGCACGAAAGCGUGGGGAGCAAAUAGGAUUAGAUACCCGUGUAGUC